Molecule: ribosomal RNA, 253 nt
Filed under: uncultured bacterium
Lineage: Bacteria
Description: partial 16S ribosomal RNA
Rfam family: Bacterial small subunit ribosomal RNA
Source: RNAcentral
UACAGAGGUCCCAAGCGUUGUUCGGAUUCAUUGGGCGUAAAGGGUGUGUAGGCGGCGCCGUAAGUCAGGUGUGAAAUCUCGGGGCUUAACUCCGAAACUGCAUUUGAUACUGCGGUGCUUGAGGACUGGAGAGGAGACUGGAAUUUACGGUGUAGCGGUGAAAUGCGUAGAUAUCGUAAGGAAGACCAGUGGCGAAGGCGGGUCUCUGGACAGUUCCUGACGCUGAGGCACGAAGGUCAGGGGAGCAAACGGG